GCAGUUUGAGGGGAUGUAAUCUGCCAGGAGUCGAGUUUGAAAGCUGCUCCUUCCUUCCUGUACCCAGGAGCAGCCCUGCUGAGCUCCCUGCUGCUCCAUCACAGCAAGCACUGCUCGCAUAGAGAAACCCCCCACCGGGUGCACAGUGCCAUUCUCUCCCUGUCAGCAGAACUCUGCUUGUAUGGGAUGUGGUGUUCUAUUUCAGUAAGAUUUGUUCAGCUUCUUCUUUUGGCAUUAACGAAGACGUCUAAUCAAUCAUUCUUUUAUUUCACAUCCAGCUGAGAAAGUGUUCAGGUGGGAUACCUGAGCUCCAAUAAUGCCCUUGAGAAAUUUCUCUUGAUUUCUUUUAUUUUUUCACAUCAAGAAGUUUCUUUUUCACAAACAUCUUCAGAUCUGCCCCCAUCCCUUAGGGCAUAAUGCUCUCAUUUGCACAGGAGGAUGCUACCUGCUGAUUUGAGCCCUGGGUCUACUGGAAGACUUUUUAAUUUUUGUGUACUUAAGUGAUUGGACUCAAAAAGUUAACUUGAAAACUGAUUCUGAUCCAUCUUCUGUGUCCAAAAAAAGUCUCUAAAAUUAUCUAAAACUAAAGAUAAAUGCAUUCUGCCUUUCCAGUUUCUGAUUCAUUAUAGGAAUUGAUUGACUUGGAGUGGCUGCAAAGCUGACAGCAUGUAGUCUAUUAAUGGAUUAACUCUACAAAGAUCCUGCCCUCUGUUAAAUCUGCUGCUGCAGUUCGGUGGGACCUGUGCCCAUGUCACUAAGAGCAGAACAGGACCCUGGCAGAACAAAUGUCAGGUAUGAACCAAGGAUGGAUGUCUUCCCUUCUUCUCACACUCAGAAGCCACGGUGUCAGCAUCCUGAGCAAAAAAAGAGGGAGAAAAAGGAUUGAACACCAAGAUCAGCACUUCCCAUCAUCUUACUUUGAUGAUUUAGAUCCUGUACUAAAGCCUAAAUCCAUUUUUAUGGCCUCAUCAGCCUCAACCUGACUGUCUGGUAACAUCCAGGCAGCUUAAACUGAGAACUGCCAGAUCUGUUUGAUCCUCACUCAAUUUUCAGAGCAAGGAAGACCUGGGCCCGCGGGAGAGGGCGAUAAGCUGUCUCUCUGGAAGAAAUUUUGGUGUUGCUCAUCUGUUCCGCUCCGUGUUGUAAUUGCUUACACCGUGCAUGAGACCUGGGCUCUUCAGAUAGCAGAAAAUAGUUCAGAGGCUCUGAUGAACAUCUGCACUUCAGGCUGCCUAUCUGAAAUUAAUCUUUCUUUUUGAGCACGGGGUUGUAUCACUUGGACAUGAAAAGGCCACGAUCUUGUCAUCUCCUUCUUGCAUACCUAAUGUCUGCGCUGGCUUUGGAUCAAUUGCAAAAAAUGAAAUAAACAGACCAAUUUUGCCA
RNAcentral lists this long non-coding RNA (1383 nucleotides) under Phasianus colchicus (ring-necked pheasant). RNAcentral describes it as "lncRNA (ENSPCLG00000006391.1)". The record is from RNAcentral. Lineage: Eukaryota; Metazoa; Chordata; Aves; Galliformes; Phasianidae.